CCCUUAGAUGUCCGGGGCCGCACGCGCGCUACACUGAAGGAAUCAGCGUGGCUUUCUCCCUGACCCGAAAGGGUUGGGAAACCCAUUGAAUCUCCUUCGUGAUAGGGAUUGGGGCUUGAAAUUGUUCCCCAUGAACGAGGAAUUCCCAGUAAGCGCGAGUCAUAAGCUCGCGUUGAUUACGUCCCUGCCCUUUGUACACACCGCCCGUCGCUACUACCGAUUGAACGGUUUAGUGAGGGCCUCGGAUUGGUCUCGGCCCGCUCUUUACCGGGCGGCGCCGUUGGUCGAGAAGACGCUCGAACUUGAUCGUUUAGAGGAAGUAAAAGUCGUAACA
This 334-nucleotide ribosomal RNA is filed under the name uncultured eukaryote. Its description in RNAcentral is "partial 18S ribosomal RNA". It matches the Rfam family "Eukaryotic small subunit ribosomal RNA", at positions 1470 to 1796 of the family's 1831-position model. The record is from RNAcentral.